This 276-nucleotide ribosomal RNA is filed under the name uncultured bacterium. RNAcentral's name for it is "partial 16S ribosomal RNA". It matches the Rfam family "Bacterial small subunit ribosomal RNA", at positions 529 to 793 of the family's 1533-position model. The record is from RNAcentral.
AGGGUGCGAGCGUUAAUCGGAAUUACUGGGCGUAAAGCGCAUGACAGGUGGUUUAGUUAGUACAGAUGUAGAAACGGACCCGGGGCCGUCAACCUACGGAAUAGCUAUUGUAAACUGGCAGACUAGAGUACUGUAGAGGGGGGUAGAAUUUCAGGUGUAGCGGUGAAAUGCGUAGAGAUCUGAAGGAAUACCGGUGGCGAAGGCGGCCCCCUCGGACAGAUACUGACACUCAGAUGCGAAAGCGUGGGGAGCAAACAGGAUUAGAUACCCUGGUAG